RNAcentral lists this ribosomal RNA (254 nucleotides) under uncultured bacterium. RNAcentral's name for it is "partial 16S ribosomal RNA". It matches the Rfam family "Bacterial small subunit ribosomal RNA", at positions 524 to 776 of the family's 1533-position model. The record is from RNAcentral.
UACGUAGGGGGCAAGCGUUUGUCCGGAUUUAUUGGGCGUAAAGAGCGUGUAGGCGGUUUGGUAGGUCCGCUGUGAAAACUCGAGGCUCAACCUCGAGACGCCGGUGGAAACCAUCAGACUAGAGUCCGGAAGAGGAGAGUGGAAUUCCUGGUGUAGCGGUGAAAUGCGCAGAUAUCAGGAAGAACACCCGUGGCUAAGGCGGCUCUCUAGUACGGUACUGACGCUGAGACGCGAAAGCGUGGGGAGCGAACAGG